GGAGCGGUGCAGGAGUGGUUGAACUGGCGGCACUGGAAAUGCCGUGUCCUGGUAACCCCGGGACCGUGGGUUCGAAUCCCACCCGCUCCGCCA
This 93-nucleotide transfer RNA is filed under the name Anaerolineae bacterium. Its description in RNAcentral is "tRNA-Ser". It matches the Rfam family "tRNA". Rfam says of the family: Transfer RNA (tRNA) molecules are approximately 80 nucleotides in length. Their secondary structure includes four short double-helical elements and three loops (D, anti-codon, and T loops). The record is from RNAcentral. Lineage: Bacteria; Bacillati; Chloroflexota; Anaerolineae.